RNAcentral lists this ribosomal RNA (253 nucleotides) under uncultured bacterium. Its description in RNAcentral is "partial 16S ribosomal RNA". It matches the Rfam family "Bacterial small subunit ribosomal RNA", at positions 524 to 776 of the family's 1533-position model. The record is from RNAcentral.
UACAGAGGGUGCAAGCGUUGUUCGGAAUUAUUGGGCGUAAAGGGAGUGUAGGCGGUUUGGUAAGUCUUCUGUGAAAUCUGCGGGCUUAGCCUGCAAAGUGCAGAGGAAACUGUCAGACUUGAGUAUUGGAGAGGGCAGGGGAAUACCCAGUGUAGAGGUGAAAUUCGUAGAGAUUGGGUGGAACACCAGUGGCGAAGGCGCCUGCCUGGCUGAUUACUGACGCUGAGACUCGAAAGCAUGGGGAGCAAACAGG